RNAcentral lists this ribosomal RNA (520 nucleotides) under uncultured Glomus. RNAcentral describes it as "SSU rRNA". It matches the Rfam family "Eukaryotic small subunit ribosomal RNA", at positions 569 to 1093 of the family's 1831-position model. The record is from RNAcentral. Lineage: Eukaryota; Fungi; Glomeromycota; Glomeromycetes; Glomerales; Glomeraceae.
AGCAGCCGCGGUAAUUCCAGCUCCAAUAGCGUAUAUUAAAGUUGCUGCAGUUAAAAAGCUCGUAGUUGAAUUUCGGGAUCAAUAUGUUGGUCGUGCCUCGGUACGUACUAGCUUAUUGGUUUCUCCCUUCUGACGAACCAUGAUGUCAUUUAUUUGGUGUUAUGGGAAAUCAGGACUGUUACUUUGAAAAAUUAGAGUGUUUAAAGCAGGCUCACGCUUGAAUACAUUAGCAUGGAAUAAUGAAAUAGGACGUUUGAUUCUAUUUUGUUGGUUUCUAGGAUCGACGUAAUGAUUAAUAGGGAUAGUUGGGGGCAUUAGUAUUCAAUUGUCAGAGGUGAAAUUCUUGGAUUUAUUGAAGACUAACUACUGCGAAAGCAUUUGCCAAGGAUGUUUUCAUUAAUCAAGAACGAAAGUUAGGGGAUCGAAGACGAUCAGAUACCGUCGUAGUCUUAACCAUAAACUAUGCCGACUAGGGAUCGGAUGAUGUUAAUUUUUAAUGUACUCAUUCGGCGCCUUACGG